RNAcentral lists this ribosomal RNA (505 nucleotides) under uncultured bacterium. Its description in RNAcentral is "bacterial SSU rRNA". It matches the Rfam family "Bacterial small subunit ribosomal RNA", at positions 15 to 507 of the family's 1533-position model. The record is from RNAcentral.
GAUCAUGGCUCAGGAUGAACGCUAGCUACAGGCUUAACACAUGCAAGUCGAGGGGAAACGACAUCGGAAGCUUGCUUUUGAUGGGCGUCGACCGGCGCACGGGUGAGUAACGCGUAUCCAACCUGCCCACCACUUGGGGAUAACCUUGCGAAAGUAAGACUAAUACCCGAUGAUAUCUCUAGACGACAUCUGAAAGGGAUUAAAGAUUUAUCGGUGAUGGAUGAGGAUGCGUCUGAUUAGCUUGUUGGCGGGGUAACGGCCCACCAAGGCAACGAUCAGUAGGGGUUCUGAGAGGAAGGUCCCCCACAUUGGAACUGAGACACGGUCCAAACUCCUACGGGAGGCAGCAGUGAGGAAUAUUGGUCAAUGGGCGAGAGCCUGAACCAGCCAAGUAGCGUGCAGGAUGACGGCCCUCCGGGUUGUAAACUGCUUUUAGUUGGGAAUAAAAAAGGCGACGUGUCGCCUAUUGUAUGUACCAUCAGAAAAAGGGCCGGCUAAUUCCGUG